Acanthopagrus latus (yellowfin seabream) is the source of this 1058-nucleotide long non-coding RNA. RefSeq lists it as uncharacterized. The record is from RefSeq and is a predicted model, not a curated record. NCBI's taxonomy places the organism in Eukaryota, Metazoa, Chordata, Actinopteri, Spariformes, Sparidae. The transcript has 5 exons.
UGUUUUGAUUAUAUGUUUGAUCGCUGCAGUCUGCUGACCUCGGCGUUCAGUUUGGUUGGAGGACGGAGCUCCGCCGUCAAUCGCCGUGAUGGGAUUUAGUGUGUGGCUGCAUGUCGCGCCUGCACAGGGAAAGAUUCAAAAAGAUUAAGACUUAUUUCAGGAUUUAUUCCCUUAAUUGUAACAUCAACAGACAUCUUCAGCAGCCAGGGUUCUAAAUAAGUUAAAUUGGAGUUGCAAAGAUGGAAGAAACCUCAGGAGGAGACACUGAGGACGCCAGGACAGACAGACAUGCAAUAUAUGCCGCAAUGAACAGUGUGUGGAUCCAGAGGGACGACUGCAUCAAGGCAUCGCCAAGUGGUGCCACAUGACCUCCACGCCAUGGUGACCUGGAAGAGGGCAGGCCACACAAGAUAAUUAGCAGUAAACGAAAGAAGACAUCAUGAUUAAGAGGCAUCACAUUUCACAGAAUUACCCUAGUCCAAGUCCUCAUACAUCCUGAUCAGUGCCGUCCAGCAGGCGCAGAGCCCAUCUAAUGAACAUGAACUCUCGUUGGCAGCCACAGAGAAGGCCUUCCCUCCUGGAUUUCAUCAACACUUCAGACCCCAUUGAUGGGAGAACAGUGGCCAUGGACAAAAGCUGUAUAUACUGUACAAACACAGCUCUGAGCGGCAGCACACUGACUCAUUCUUCAGCUUGUGUGAGAACGGAGGGGGACCCCUUUCAGCUCCUUUGUGUUGGUGUCUGUCAACAGUGUAGUUGGAGGCAGAGCCCAUUGUGGCGGCCAGUGUUUCGUAUUGACACAGGGCCUCGCUCAGCUUGUUCCCAGGGUCCAACCUGAGGACUCAUGAAUAAUGGAGAGAGGAUCCUCAGGGCCAAGGGGGAGUUCGCAAGUCUGACUGGGCUCGUUAUGAGCCUAAACUACGUCUUUAUGUAUGUAUGGCGGCAGGUAAAACUGUGGUCAAGCAUCCACUGUGGAACUUUGCUGCAAAGUGAGAACCUGGCAGAUGAUUCGGUGCCUCAUGAUUAACACAAAAUAAAAAAGGGAGCUACACAUUUAA